GACAGAGGAUGCAAACGUUGUUCGGAAUUACUGGGCGUAAAGCGCGUGUAGGCUGCUCUGCAAGUCGGAUGUGAAAGCCCUGGGCUCAACCUAGGAAGUGCACUCGAAACUGCGGAGCUUGAGUCUCGGAGAGGAUCGCGGAAUUCUCGGUGUAGAGGUGAAAUUCGUAGAUAUCGAGAGGAACACCGGUGGCGAAGGCGGCGAUCUGGACGAUGACUGACGCUGAGACGCGAAAGCGUGGGGAGCAAACAGG
RNAcentral lists this ribosomal RNA (253 nucleotides) under uncultured bacterium. RNAcentral's name for it is "partial 16S ribosomal RNA". It matches the Rfam family "Bacterial small subunit ribosomal RNA", at positions 524 to 776 of the family's 1533-position model. The record is from RNAcentral.